CCUACGGGGCGCAGCAGUGAGGAAUAUUGGUCAAUGGGCGAGAGCCUGAACCAGCCAAGUCGCGUGAGGGAUGACGGCUCUAUGAGUUGUAAACUGCUUUUGUACGAGGGUAAACCCCGAUACGUGUAUCGGGUUGAAAGUAUCGUACGAAUAAGGAUCGGCUAACUCCGUGCCAGCAGCCGCGGUAAUACGGAGGAUCCGAGCGUUAUCCGGAUUUAUUGGGUUUAAAGGGUGCGUAGGCGGUUUGAUAAGUUAGAGGUGAAAUGUCGGGGCUCAACCCCGAAACUGCCUCUAAUACUGUUGGG
This 305-nucleotide ribosomal RNA is filed under the name uncultured bacterium. Its description in RNAcentral is "bacterial SSU rRNA". It matches the Rfam family "Bacterial small subunit ribosomal RNA", at positions 338 to 640 of the family's 1533-position model. The record is from RNAcentral.